RNAcentral lists this ribosomal RNA (1036 nucleotides) under uncultured bacterium. RNAcentral describes it as "bacterial SSU rRNA". It matches the Rfam family "Bacterial small subunit ribosomal RNA", at positions 336 to 1393 of the family's 1533-position model. The record is from RNAcentral.
CUCCUACGGGAGGCAGCAGUGGGGAAUAUUGCACAAUGGGGGAAACCCUGAUGCAGCGACGCCGCGUGGAGGAAGAAGGUCUUCGGAUUGUAAACUCCUGUUGUUGAGGAAGAUAAUGGCGGUACUCAACAAGGAAGUGACGGCUAACUACGUGCCAGCAGCCGCGGUAAAACGUAGGUCACAAGCGUUGUCCGGAAUUACUGGGUGUAAAGGGAGCGCAGGCGGGCGAUCAAGUUGGAAGUGAAAUCCAUGGGCUCAACCCAUGAACUGCUUUCAAAACUGGUCGUCUUGAGUAGUGCAGAGGUAGGCGGAAUUCCUAGUGUAGCAGUGAAAUGCGUAGAUAUUAGGAGGAACACCAGUGGCGAAGGCAGAUUGCUGGACGAUAACUGACGGUGAGGCGCGAAAGUGUGGGGAGCAAACAGGAUUAGAUACCCUGGUAGUCCACACUGUAAACGAUGAAUACUAGGUGUGCGGGGACUGACCCCCUGCGUGCCGCAGUAAACACAAUAAGUAUUCCACCUGGGGAGUACGAUCGCAAGGUUGAAACUCAAAGGAAUUGACGGGGGCCCGCACAAGCGGUGGAUUAUGUGGUUUAAUUCGAAGCAACGCGAAGAACCUUACCAGGGUUUGACAUCCUGCUAACGAAGUAGAGAUACAUUAGGUGCCCUUCGGGGAAAGCAGAGACAGGUGGUGCAUGGUUGUCGUCAGCUCGUGUCGUGAGAUGUUGGGUUAAGUCCCGCAACGAGCGCAACCCCUAUUGUUAGUUGCUACGCAAGAGCACUCUAGCGAGACUGCCGUUGACAAAACGGAGGAAGGUGGGGACGACGUCAAAUCAUCAUGCCCCUUAUAUCCUGGGCUACACACGUAAUACAAUGGCGGUCAACAGAGGGAAGCAAAGCCGCGAGGCAGAGCAAACCCCCAAAAGCCGUCCCAGUUCGGAUUGUAGGCUGCAACUCGCCUGCAUGAAGUCGGAAUCGCUAGUAAUCGCGGAUCAGCAUACCGCGGUGAAUACGUUCCCGGGCCUUGUACACACCGC